GUAGGUGGCAAGCGUUGUCCGGAAUUAUUGGGCGUAAAGCGCGCGCAGGUGGUUCGUUUAAGUCUGAUGUGAAAGACCCCCGGGCCUCAACCGGGGAGGGGUCAUUGGAAACUGGGGAACGUUGAGUGCAGGAGAGGAAAGUGGAAUUCCACGUGUAGCGGUGAAAUGCGUAGAUAUGUGGAGGAACAACCAGUGGCGAAGGCGACUUUCUGGCCUGUAACUGACACUGAGGCGCGAAAGCGUGGGGAGCAAACAGGAUUAGAUACCCUGGUAGUCCACGCCGUAAACGAUGAGUGCUAAGUGUUGGGGGGUUUCCGCCCCUCAGUGCUGCAGCUAACGCAUUAAGCACUCCGCCUGGGGAGUACGGUCGCAAAGACUG
This 379-nucleotide ribosomal RNA is filed under the name uncultured organism. RNAcentral's name for it is "partial 16S ribosomal RNA". It matches the Rfam family "Bacterial small subunit ribosomal RNA", at positions 527 to 896 of the family's 1533-position model. The record is from RNAcentral.